This is a long non-coding RNA of Athalia rosae (coleseed sawfly), 556 nucleotides long. RefSeq lists it as uncharacterized. The record is from RefSeq and is a predicted model, not a curated record. NCBI's taxonomy places the organism in Eukaryota, Metazoa, Arthropoda, Insecta, Hymenoptera, Athaliidae. The transcript has 2 exons.
GGCUCACGGACGGCCCGAGCUUUCCCUCCCCACUACUUGGUGCGCUGCAGUCGGUCACUUACACGCAUACGGGUCCCUGUAAAUGAUAUGCACGCACACAAUCGAUUCUCGCUGGCGCGCGGCGUUCCGCGAUUUCAACUCAUUGCCAGAAUCAGAGCAAUCGAGCAACUCACAAGGGGAGGUUGAGAACUCGUCGUCAUCGAUUUCGGCCUAAUUCACAGUAUAUGUUGGGCUCGACUAGAACUUAAAGUGAGCCAAGUAAAAAGACGAGAUGGCCAAGCGUUUUGCAGAUAUUAUUGUUUAAACAUUUUAUGUGUAGUACACAAGCUUUUUAAGAUUACGUGUGGAACAAAUAAUGGUCAGCGCAGCGGCAAGCGUUCGGAUUCAUAGCAUGAGGCUCGUGGGUUCGAUUCCGUUAUCCACUCUGUUCCAGGCACAGAAUCAAUUUUACUGUCUGCCAUUUUCGAAAGAUUUGAUUCUCGCUGGCGCACGGUGUUCCGAUUUUGAUCUUACGCGUCGAUCGAGAAACUGGCAAUUGUGUAGCUUGCGGGGUUGC